AGUAAGGUAAGCUAAAAAAGCUACUGGGCCCAUACCCCAGGAAUGUUGGUUAAAAUCCUUCCUUUGCUG
This 69-nucleotide transfer RNA is filed under the name Amanses scopas (broom filefish). RNAcentral's name for it is "tRNA-Met". It matches the Rfam family "tRNA". From Rfam's summary of the family: Transfer RNA (tRNA) molecules are approximately 80 nucleotides in length. Lineage: Eukaryota; Metazoa; Chordata; Actinopteri; Tetraodontiformes; Monacanthidae. The record is from RNAcentral.